RNAcentral lists this non-coding RNA (198 nucleotides) under Ferrimonas marina. Its description in RNAcentral is "Lysine sequence". It matches the Rfam family "Lysine riboswitch aptamer". Rfam says of the family: Riboswitches are metabolite binding domains within certain messenger RNAs that serve as precision sensors for their corresponding targets. Lineage: Bacteria; Pseudomonadati; Pseudomonadota; Gammaproteobacteria; Alteromonadales; Ferrimonadaceae. The record is from Rfam by way of RNAcentral.
AGACAAGGUAGAGGCGCACCGCCUAUCAGUAAGCCAGCCGAGGUUGACCCCCGAAGACGCUGGCCCAAAGGAGCCGGUGCCGAAGUGAAGCGGGCGUCAUCCCGGUUUGCUGGGGUUGUGUUAAACAGGCACAACACUGCCAUAGUGAUCUCUGUUAGGACGACAGGUUCAGAUUAACUAUGGAGCGCUACUGAAAGG